CUGAUUGCUUCUUUCACACGAUCGCCUGAAACGUUAACUGAAUGACAAAAAGUAGAGCGAAAAUAUGUUUAUACCAGACCGGUUGUCUUCAAGGUGACCCUAUCGUUUCGAAUAAAUUAUCUCCCGAGUUCUUUGGUUCUGACUUCUGACUAACUUGUGACAACCCGUAGCAUACCCGUAGUGCUAGACGUGCUAGUGUUAGUAUGGAUACUAAAAUAAUCGAUUUUAAAUGUAUCGAUUAUAUAAAUUACUUGUUCAUAUCUA
This is a long non-coding RNA of Melitaea cinxia (Glanville fritillary), 264 nucleotides long. RefSeq lists it as uncharacterized. The record is from RefSeq and is a predicted model, not a curated record. The transcript is spliced from 2 exons. Lineage: Eukaryota; Metazoa; Arthropoda; Insecta; Lepidoptera; Nymphalidae.